UCUGGUUGCAUGUGCUUUGGUCUGCUCUCAGCCUCAAGACCACAGUCUGAGGAUGACAGACAGUAACUGAACUCAAGGAAAGCAGUAUCAUGGACCACAGUCUGAGGAUGACGGACAGUAACUGAACUCAAGGAAAGCAGUAUCAUGGCUUGAUGACAUGGAUUUCUACAUGCUGGAAACUAAGCCAGAAUCCACACUACGCAUGGCUUUUCUCUGACCCUGGCAUCUCCAAACAUCUUGUGAAACACAAACUUCAUUUUCUGUGGGACAAGAGAUUUACAGUGGGGAUGCUCUAUCACUUGCUGUGGAUGUCAAUCUUCAGGCAAGAAAGUCUGUCUUAUUUAUGUAGGGAGG
This 354-nucleotide long non-coding RNA is filed under the name Homo sapiens (human). RNAcentral's name for it is "HSALNT0126757". The record is from RNAcentral. Lineage: Eukaryota; Metazoa; Chordata; Mammalia; Primates; Hominidae.